UCUCGUAGCUUGCUAUGAGAACGGUUAGUGGCAGACGGGUGAGUAAUGCAUAGGAAUCUACCUAGUAGUAUGGGAUAGCCACUAGAAAUGGUGGGUAAUACUGUAUAAUCUCUGCGGGGGAAAGAUUUAUCGCUAUUAGAUGAGCCUAUGUUAGAUUAGCUAGUUGGUAGGGUAAAGGCCUACCAAGGCAGUGAUCUAUAGCUGGUCUGAGAGGAUGAUCAGCCACACUGGAACUGAGAUACGGUCCAGAUUCCUACGGGAGGCAGCAGUGGGGAAUAUUGGACAAUGGGCGCAAGCCUGAUCCAGCUAUGCCGCGUGAGUGAGGAAGGCCUUAGGGUUGUAAAACUCUUUCAGUGGGGAAGAUAAUGACAGUACCCACAGAAGAAGUCCCGGCAAACUCCGUGCCAGCAGCCGCGGUAAUACGGAGGGGGCAAGCGUUGUUCGGAAUUAUUGGGCGUAAAGGGCAUGUAGGCGGUUCGGUAAGUUAAAGGUGAAAUGCCAGGGCUUAACCCUGGAGCUGCUUUUAAUACUGCCAGACUGGAGUCCGGGAG
This 551-nucleotide ribosomal RNA is filed under the name Anaplasma platys. RNAcentral's name for it is "bacterial SSU rRNA". It matches the Rfam family "Bacterial small subunit ribosomal RNA", at positions 71 to 654 of the family's 1533-position model. Lineage: Bacteria; Pseudomonadati; Pseudomonadota; Alphaproteobacteria; Rickettsiales; Anaplasmataceae. The record is from RNAcentral.